GGGCGAAUGGUUUAGUGGUAUAAUACUCCCUUAGCAAGAUUACGUAUCUGGGAGUGGUCCAGGGUUCGAUUCCCUGUUCGUCCA
This 84-nucleotide transfer RNA is filed under the name Ustilaginoidea virens. It matches the Rfam family "tRNA". From Rfam's summary of the family: Transfer RNA (tRNA) molecules are approximately 80 nucleotides in length. The record is from Rfam by way of RNAcentral. Lineage: Eukaryota; Fungi; Ascomycota; Sordariomycetes; Hypocreales; Clavicipitaceae.